This is a long non-coding RNA of Seriola dumerili (greater amberjack), 4847 nucleotides long. RefSeq lists it as uncharacterized. The record is from RefSeq and is a predicted model, not a curated record. NCBI's taxonomy places the organism in Eukaryota, Metazoa, Chordata, Actinopteri, Carangiformes, Carangidae. The transcript has 2 exons.
GCCAUUUUUGUCUUUUUUGUUCAAAUGGUAAUUUUGUAUUCUCAUGUUUAGAGAGCUUAUGUGUGUAUGUGUCCCUUCUCCAAACAGGGACUUGAUCUCCAUGUUUUGAGAGUGAAUGAAUGAGAGAGAAAGAGAGAGAGAGGGCAAUUGCACAACACAUCCUUUCUCUCACCAGCUCUUCAUCCCCAGAUAGACGAAAUAGAAAUGCAUACAUUUGUAAAUGUCAGCUUUUGCGCUCAUCACAUGAUGACCACCACUAGUUCAUUUCCCUUUGCUUCUCCCCACAGGGAGCUGUCUCUAGACCAGUGAGGACUAGUAGACAGGGCAAAUCAUGAGGGACAUUACUGUGUGUGCAUCUGAAUGAGACUUUGUGUGUGUAUGUGUGUGUGUAUGUGUGUGUGUGUAUAUGUAUGUAUGUGUGUGUGUGUGUGUAUGUGUUUUCAGAGUGCAUGUUCAUUUACUGUUCAUAGAAAUGAGUUAAGACUACAGGUACUCAUUUUGAAUACAUGUGCUUUUUUGUAUGUGUAUGAAUGCACAUUUGUGCCUAAGAACUUGGAUAGGGUGCGUGGCCAUUGAGACAUUAACUCUUUUUUGAGAGCAAGUGUGACGUGUGUCAGUGCUCAGCACAGUGUAUGUAAAGUAUGUAAGUUUAUAUCGUAAAUAUUUCUAGUUCAGUCUAGGGGUGAUCCAUCGGAAGGUUAGUCCAGUCUGUUUUCCUGGGGUGUGAUCACGUUGCCUUUUGUCAGCUCUCGAACUUGUGAAUGAAAGGUGUCGAGUUUCUGACUCUGAAAAAAAAAAAAUACAGCAUCUUAAUGUGCAAGUGCACAGAACGGUGCAUGAAAUGUUAGCAUAUUGUGUUACUUAUUCGUUGUUGCAAUUUGAUAAUGACGAGUUUUCUUUUUUUAAUGAAAAAUAUAUAUGAAUAUAUACAUUAUAUACAAAGUUUAAAAAGUAUUUGGACUAAGAUAAUGAGCACUUGGGGCUGCUAUUUUUGUUGUGUUUUUAAUUUUUUUUUCCUUAAUUUGUUUUUCAUUUUGUUUCAUUAUCGCCAUGUGAAGUGUGUGUAUUAUUUCUUAAGAAAAUAUUGAAUGUAUUCCAAAAAAAUGACAAGAAACCCGUGCUGAUACCAGAUAUUAUUUUUUCCUCAGAAGAUUUCAAAAAUGGAAACAAAAUACAAAAAAGCUUCAGUUUAGCGAGGUCUUUUUAUUUUUUUUUUUAUUUUCACAGUGGAGAAGAAAAAAAAAAAAACUCGGGAUGGAUACAGUUGAACACACUGCCUCUACAAUCCUGGUCGUACAAAUAGUGACUAAGAAUUCAAAGAAAGGACUCUUUCUAUUCCAUACUGGAGCUUUGGUUGUUUACAAACCACAUGGAUAUCUGUGGGUGCAGUUUUGUUUUUUCUUUUUUGUUUGUUUGAAUAAUUUUUUUUUUUUUUUUUUUGUUCUAAGAUAAGACGGGUGGGGUUUGCAAGUGCGCUUCUGCCAUAUGGACAUUGAGUGGUGUUGUUUUUUUUGUUUUUUGUUUUGUUUUGAGGAAGAGUGGCAGGCAUCACAAUAACAUGGACAAGAUCCUCUAACUGGACCCUUUGUGUGCGGUUGUGGAUCCUGAGACUCGAUGAUCAACCAUGGAGCGAAGGCGGGAAAAUCAAGGAUUGGCUCUGUUUUGUGGAGAACGGAGUGCAGGGCUGCAUAACCCUGGAGGGAACUGAGAGGGCGAUAUGAGUACACCUGGUUCGUGCACUUGUUUUCACCUCAACCCUCAUAAGCACUCACACCCUGCCCUCACCAACUCACCUAUGCACUUUUGUUCAUUCAAGCUGUGAGGUACCAUUUUGGGGAUGGGAGCACAAUUACAACAGGAGGAUUGCUACGACUUUGACAAAGUCACUGAAAAGAUAUUCCCAAACUGAAAAAAGAGACUCGAGAAGCACGUCUUCUCCCACCUCCUGUAUAUAACCAUAUUUUUGUAUUACCUUUCAGAGUAGAAAGAAAAGUUGCAAAUGGAUGAAGGAAAAUUCAUGAGACAUUGAUUAUAUGGAGUGAAUGUUCUUCAAGAAAACCAAUCUUUUUUGAAAAUAGUUUGAGAUAGAACUGCUGUGAGUUUCCCGUAGUUUGCCAGUAACCCUGAAAUAAUCGGGGAUGGAAGGGAAAACCACAUUGAACAUGAACUGAGGUGCUCGACAUGCUACAGUGUCUACAAGACUGACUGAUAGUUAAUUAUCAAAGUGGAUGUUGCAGUGGCUACAAAGCCCCGCCCAAGAGUGUUUGAUCAACAUACACAGUAAAGAGGCAGACGGGUUAGAAGAAGCUGUCGGCAAGGGUGCUUCCACUUCGUCUCCAAACCUGAUGACUGCCUCGAGAGCUGUAGCAUGACUGCAGGAGCAAAAAUCCUUGGAUUUGGUGUCUGGCUGUGCUUUAUUUGCUGCCCUCUACAAUGAGGAUCUAACCUACAGUCAACCCAUGAACCAGUUAACCCUAAACCUGUCCUUUUGAACUUGAACCCUAAGAAACUUUUCUGUCUUGACCUCAGACUGGGCAGGCCGGUGGCAUUAUCAGUUGGACAGUUACAAGAUGAAGUUACAGGUUUUUCAACCAUGGAUCCCAUCUGUGUUUGAAGUGUUAAGCUGGGCAUUUGAUCAGGCACUCUCCGGCGAGGAAGAGGAUACAUAGACACGAAUUGCCCAGAUGUCAUCAUCCACCUCGGCCUGAAACUCUUGGGUGGUGCGUGGAGGUCUUCUAACCAGCGGGACUCCUGCUAGGACGUCAGAGACAGAGCUGGGUCGGGUUUCGGUGGAUGUGGCUGGAUUACAUCUAAGCCAAUAGAAAUCCCUGCAGCUGUGGAACUGGAUGAACUGAAAGAAUUGUACAGAAAAAUAGACUUUGAAACAUGACAAAAUACAAACACGUAGCGACAUGUCACAUAGAUUCUAGAGUCCAAAGGAGUGGCAGACACUACAUGCACACUUACAACAAAAAAGCAACGUACACUCAGUUACAUUGGCUCUCCUCUGGAACCGCAUCUGUACACAUAACAGGGCUACAUCAAUAUCAAAUCACAUAAGACAUGUACAGACACACACAAGCAUCAAUGCUCUUCACUAUAAAUGCUGAGCUCUGUAAAUAAUGUAAAAGAUGGGUGUUUUGAUUUUUUUCUUUUUUUUUUUUUUCUCAUAGUGGGUUUUUGCUUUAUUUCUCUGUUCAACAUGCCUUAAAUUGUAUAGUUCAGUUCUGAACAGCUAACUGAAAAUGUUCUCUGAAUGAUGAAUUUACAUUGGAAACCACCUUGUUACCUGUCCUCUAAAGUUAAAGAAAGGAAGGAACUUUCAACAAGACUGUUUUCUGUUGGCUAACAGAACUGUCUGUUCUGUUUUAACUUCAUAAAUGUACAUCUGAUCACCAUGAAAGUUACUAAUUAGCUACAGAAUAGAGCAGCAAAGCGGUCUUUGAUUAAUCUGAUUUUUGCUGGUGGUUGGCUUAUGUUGCCCUUUUGGUUUCCUUAAAAUGAAGAGUGGAUUUGUUUAGAUUUUUCUUUGUAGAUUAUUGCUAACAGUGCAGGCUGAAGUCUGUACUGUCUGGAGCUGAGCUGACAGGGUGAGAUGCACAGAACUGGCACAGACUUGUUGUGUGAUGACUGUUGUUGGAUACACUGCUCUAGGCAAAACUGAACCAGGGUGACAGGUCAUCUGCAAAUUGAGAUACAAACUGGGGCUGUUUCGUUCAUUUUUUUUUUUUUUUUUUUUUUACACUCCGGGGACUUAAAUGUUUUGGAAGCUACUAGGUUCUUUUUACAGUUUUGAGAUGACGACUCGGGCUUGUGUAAGAAACGUGACUGUUAGAGCAAGCUUGCAUGAUUUGUAAUAUUUGUGAGUUUUGACACUAAACCUUGAGGUGGGUCACGGGGGGCUUUUGCUCUCUCUGUGCACCUGGUAGUGUUGCUGACCAUCUCGGGUGGCCCUGAAUAGAGAAGGACUCGACCAUACAGUUGUGUUACCUGAAACGAAAUUCCUCAAAAUUGGGUAGUGUCUUGUUCAGUGUAUGUAUACCUAACUGGAUAUGAGAGAUUAAUGCUUUUAGUCGACCAGUAGUUUCUUCUUUUUUUUGUAUCCUUGAUAAGUAAACAAUAUGCAGUUUUUAAUUGAAAUGACAACUGAUAUUCAUUGAAAACCAUCAGCUUGGACUUGUAAUACACUUGUACAUUUUGAUUAGCUGAGGUUUUGGUGGACAGUUACCUGCCAUAGCUAACUGUGUAAAAUGUGGUAGCCACAGCAGGCUCCAGCAUGUCAUAACUGUUGAAUUGAUACUGACGUAAUACUAAAUGGUUUCUAUAUUAAAGUAGUUGUAAUCAGUUGCCAAAACGGAGAAAUUGACUUUAAACAUACAAGUAUGCUAUCAAGUCUCUGUGGAUGACUUUAAAUAUACCAGUGUUUGACAUUUUUAAAAGCUGAUCUUGUGUGGCAUUAGUUGUUGGUAAGUCAGUCUGUCUUAAAAGAGUGAACAGUAGUUGUUUUCAGUUUAUUUUACUGAACUACAAAAGCUUUUAUAAUUAGUUAAAAUGGAUGUUUGGUUGUAAGCCUUUGAAAAUUUCAUGUCACAGCCUGUCCUCUGACAGUAUGAAGUUGAUCAUCCGGUUAAUUGUACCUCUGGUAACUGUAGUUCCAACAAUAUUAGCUGUUAUACCCCAGUCAGCUCAGCUCCUUUGCUUAAAAAGUCUUUGAAUGUUGUUAAAAAUAACAGCAUACAUGUAAUGAAACUGUUUUGGAAAAGAACAACUGAAAGAUGUGUAAAUAGUUUGGCUUUUGUUUGUUUGAAGAACAAAAUAAAUACUAAAUAAAUAGCAUUUAGCAGUGA